GAUGAACGCUAGCGACAGGCCUAACACAUGCAAGUCGAGGGGCAGCACAAGGAGCAAUCUGAGGUGGCGACCGGCGCACGGGUGAGUAACACGUAUGCAACCUACCUGUAAGAGGGGAAUAACCCGUUGAAAAACGGACUAAUACCGCAUAACACUGUAGAACCGCAUGGUUUGACAGUUAAACAUUUAUGGCUUACAGAUGGGCAUGCGCAUGAUUAGCUAGUUGGUGAGGUAACGGCUCACCAAGGCAACGAUCAUUAGGGGUUCUGAGAGGAAGGUCCCCCACACUGGUACUGAGACACGGACCAGACUCCUACGGGAGGCAGCAGUGAGGAAUAUUGGUCAAUGGGCGAGAGCCUGAACCAGCCAAGUCGCGUGAAGGAUGAAGGUUUUAUGAAUUGUAAACUUCUUUGCAGGGGAAUAAAGUGUCCGACGUGUCGGAUUUUGUAUGUACUCUGCGAAUAGGAUCGGCUAACUCCGUGCCAGC
RNAcentral lists this ribosomal RNA (487 nucleotides) under uncultured bacterium. RNAcentral describes it as "bacterial SSU rRNA". It matches the Rfam family "Bacterial small subunit ribosomal RNA", at positions 28 to 512 of the family's 1533-position model. The record is from RNAcentral.